RNAcentral lists this ribosomal RNA (497 nucleotides) under uncultured bacterium. RNAcentral describes it as "partial 16S ribosomal RNA". It matches the Rfam family "Bacterial small subunit ribosomal RNA", at positions 28 to 507 of the family's 1533-position model. The record is from RNAcentral.
GAUGAACGCUGGCGGCGUGCCUAAUACAUGCAAGUCGAGCGAACAGAUAAGGAGCUUGCUCCUUUGACGUUAGCGGCGGACGGGUGAGUAACACGUGGGUAACCUAUCUAUAAGACUGGAAUAACUCCGGGAAACCGGGGCUAAUGCCGGAUAACAUGUUGAACCGCAUGGUUCUACAGUGAAAGGCGGCUUUGCUGUCACUUAUAGAUGGACCCGCGCCGUAUUAGCUAGUUGGUGAGGUAACGGCUCACCAAGGCAACGAUACGUAGCCGACCUGAGAGGGUGAUCGGCCACACUGGAACUGCGACACGGUCCAGACUCCUACGGGAGGCAGCAGUAGGGAAUCUUCCGCAAUGGGCGAAAGCCUGACGGAGCAACGCCGCGUGAGUGAUGAAGGUCUUCGGAUCGUAAAACUCUGUUAUUAGGGAAGAACAAAUGCGUAAGUAACUGUGCGCGUCUUGACGGUACCUAAUCAGAAAGCCACGGCUAACUACGUG